This 21-nucleotide non-coding RNA is filed under the name Arabidopsis thaliana (thale cress). The record is from RNAcentral. Lineage: Eukaryota; Viridiplantae; Streptophyta; Magnoliopsida; Brassicales; Brassicaceae.
UCAAAGUUUUUGGGUUCCGGG